This 265-nucleotide unclassified non-coding RNA is filed under the name Chytridiomycota sp. Its description in RNAcentral is "partial contains small subunit ribosomal RNA, internal transcribed spacer 1, and 5.8S ribosomal RNA". The stretch from base 1 to 47 matches the Rfam family "Eukaryotic small subunit ribosomal RNA", at positions 1785 to 1831 of the family's 1831-position model. The record is from RNAcentral. Lineage: Eukaryota; Fungi; Chytridiomycota.
AAAGUCGUAACAAGGUAACCGUAGGUGAACCUGCGGUUGGAUCAUUAACAAAAUGAUAAAAGCUUGGGCCCUAAAAAAGCCCGGCUUUUAUAAACACCUGUGAACUGUAAUUGUCUCUGGUGGGUUAAAAUUGGGAUUUUAAUUAUAUCCCUUGGUUUUUCAUUAAACCACCCACUGUAAAUUAUUAACUUGUAUAAUCUUGAAUUAGUUUUUGAAUUUAAAUAAAAUUUAUAAACAACUUUUGACAACGGAUCUCUAGGCUCUC